Molecule: transfer RNA, 73 nt
Filed under: Stegodyphus mimosarum
Lineage: Eukaryota; Metazoa; Arthropoda; Arachnida; Araneae; Eresidae
Rfam family: tRNA
About the family: Transfer RNA (tRNA) molecules are approximately 80 nucleotides in length. Their secondary structure includes four short double-helical elements and three loops (D, anti-codon, and T loops). Further hydrogen bonds mediate the characteristic L-shaped molecular structure. tRNAs have two regions of fundamental functional importance: the anti-codon, which is responsible for specific mRNA codon recognition, and the 3' end, to which the tRNAs corresponding amino acid is attached (by aminoacyl-tRNA synthetases). tRNAs cope with the degeneracy of the genetic code in two manners: having more than one tRNA (with a specific anti-codon) for a particular amino acid; and 'wobble' base-pairing, i.e. permitting non-standard base-pairing at the 3rd anti-codon position.
Source: Rfam by way of RNAcentral
GCCUUCGUGGUGUAGUGGUCAGCACGCUCGACGCGUUAUCGAGAGGUCCGUGGUUCGAUUCCCGGUGAAGGAG